GACGAACGCUGGCGGCGUGCUUAACACAUGCAAGUCGAACGGAAAGGCCCUGCUUUUGUGGGCUGCCCGAGUGGCGAACGGGUGAGUAACACGUGAGUAACCUGCCCUUCACUUUGGGAUAACUUCAGGAAACUGGGGUUAAUCCAGGAUCGGAUCUCCCGCUGCAUGGUGGGGGUUGGAACGUUUCGGCGGUUGGGGAUGGACUCGCGGCUUAUCGGCUUGCUGGUGGGGUAGUGGCUUACCAAGGCUUUGACCGGUAGCCGGCCUGUGAGGGUGACCGGCGACAUUAGGACUGAGGUACGGCCCAGACUCCUACAGUAGGCAGCAGUGGGGAAUAUUGCACAGUGGGAGGGAGCCUGAUGCGACAACGCCGCGUGCGGGAUGACGGCCUUCGGGUUGUGAACCGCAUUCGCCUGUGACGAAGCGGGAGUGACGGUAAUGGGUAAAGAAGCACCGGCUAACUACGUG
Molecule: ribosomal RNA, 468 nt
Filed under: uncultured bacterium
Lineage: Bacteria
Description: partial 16S ribosomal RNA
Rfam family: Bacterial small subunit ribosomal RNA
Source: RNAcentral